Molecule: ribosomal RNA, 1417 nt
Filed under: metagenome
Description: bacterial SSU rRNA
Rfam family: Bacterial small subunit ribosomal RNA
Source: RNAcentral
GAUCAGUGGCGAACGGGUGAGUAACACGUGAGUAACCUGCCCUUGACUCUGGGAUAAGCGUUGGAAACGACGUCUAAUACCGGAUACGACCUUCGGAGGCAUCUCCUGGGGGUGGAAAGAAUUUCGGUCAAGGAUGGACUCGCGGCCUAUCAGCUAGUUGGUGAGGUAAUGGCUCACCAAGGCGACGACGGGUAGCCGGCCUGAGAGGGUGACCGGCCACACUGGGACUGAGACACGGCCCAGACUCCUACGGGAGGCAGCAGUGGGGAAUAUUGCACAAUGGGCGCAAGCCUGAUGCAGCAACGCCGCGUGAGGGACGACGGCCUUCGGGUUGUAAACCUCUUUUAGUAGGGAAGAAGCGAAAGUGACGGUACCUGCAGAAAAAGCACCGGCUAACUACGUGCCAGCAGCCGCGGUAAUACGUAGGGUGCAAGCGUUAUCCGGAAUUAUUGGGCGUAAAGAGCUCGUAGGCGGUUUGUCGCGUCUGCUGUGAAAACUGGAGGCUCAACCUCCAGCCUGCAGUGGGUACGGGCAGACUAGAGUGCGGUAGGGGAGAUUGGAAUUCCUGGUGUAGCGGUGGAAUGCGCAGAUAUCAGGAGGAACACCGAUGGCGAAGGCAGAUCUCUGGGCCGUAACUGACGCUGAGGAGCGAAAGCAUGGGGAGCGAACAGGAUUAGAUACCCUGGUAGUCCAUGCCGUAAACGUUGGGAACUAGAUGUAGGGACCAUUCCACGGUUUCUGUGUCGCAGCUAACGCAUUAAGUUCCCCGCCUGGGGAGUACGGCCGCAAGGCUAAAACUCAAAGGAAUUGACGGGGGCCCGCACAAGCGGCGGAGCAUGCGGAUUAAUUCGAUGCAACGCGAAGAACCUUACCAAGGCUUGACAUAUACCGGAAAAGUUCAGAAAUGUUCUCCCCGCAAGGUCGGUAUACAGGUGGUGCAUGGUUGUCGUCAGCUCGUGUCGUGAGAUGUUGGGUUAAGUCCCGCAACGAGCGCAACCCUCGUUCUAUGUUGCCAGCACGUAAUGGUGGGAACUCAUAGGAGACUGCCGGGGUCAACUCGGAGGAAGGUGGGGAUGACGUCAAAUCAUCAUGCCCCUUAUGUCUUGGGCUUCACGCAUGCUACAAUGGCCGAUACAAAGGGCUGCAAUACCGUAAGGUGGAGCGAAUCCCAAAAAGUCGGUCUCAGUUCGGAUUGAGGUCUGCAACUCGACCUCAUGAAGUCGGAGUCGCUAGUAAUCGCAGAUCAGCAACGCUGCGGUGAAUACGUUCCCGGGCCUUGUACACACCGCCCGUCAAGUCAUGAAAGUCGGUAACACCCGAAGCCAGUGGCCUAACCGCAAGGAAGGAGCUGUCGAAGGUGGGAUCGGUGAUUAGGACUAAGUCGUAACAAGGUAGCCGUACCGGGAGGGUGCGGCUG